AGGUUCGUCUCGUUGGUGACAGCGGAGGGAUCAUUACCGAGUUUACAACUCCCAAACCCCUGUGAACAUACCUUUAUGUUGCCUCGGCGGAUCAGCCCGCGCCCCGUAAAACGGGACGGCCCGCCGCAGGAAACCCUAAACUCUGUUUUUAGUGGAACUUCUGAGUAUAAAAAACAAAUAAAUCAAAACUUUCAACAACGGAUCUCUUGGUUCUGGCAUCGAUGAAGAACGCAGCAAAAUGCGAUAAGUAAUGUGAAUUGCAGAAUUCAGUGAAUCAUCGAAUCUUUGAACGCACAUUGCGCCCGCCAGUAUUCUGGCGGGCAUGCCUGUUCGAGCGUCAUUUCAACCCUCAAGCCCAGCUUGGUGUUGGGAUCUAUGUGCAAACACAGUCCCCAAAUUGAUUGGCGGUCACGUCGAGCUUCCAUAGCGUAGUAAUUUACACAUCGUUACUGGUAAUCGUCGCGGCCACGCCGUUAAACCCCAACUUCUGAAUGUUGACCUCGGAUCAGGUAGGAAUACCCGCUGAACUUAAGCAUACAA
RNAcentral lists this ribosomal RNA (540 nucleotides) under Fusarium sporotrichioides. RNAcentral's name for it is "eukaryotic LSU rRNA". The stretch from base 187 to 340 matches the Rfam family "5.8S ribosomal RNA". The record is from RNAcentral. Lineage: Eukaryota; Fungi; Ascomycota; Sordariomycetes; Hypocreales; Nectriaceae.